Mobula hypostoma (lesser devil ray) is the source of this 105-nucleotide small nuclear RNA. Lineage: Eukaryota; Metazoa; Chordata; Chondrichthyes; Myliobatiformes; Myliobatidae. The record is from RefSeq and is a predicted model, not a curated record.
UUGCUUUGGCAGCACAUAUACUAAAAUUGGAAUGAUACAGAGAAGAUUAGCAUGGCCCCUGUACAAGAGGAUGUGACUAAACACGUUGAUGAAGGUAGAGCAGUA